This 262-nucleotide long non-coding RNA is filed under the name Olea europaea (common olive). RNAcentral's name for it is "long non-coding RNA (OEUR_LNC008368)". Lineage: Eukaryota; Viridiplantae; Streptophyta; Magnoliopsida; Lamiales; Oleaceae. The record is from RNAcentral.
CUAAAGCUAUUCACAACUAAUUAUGAAUUUAACGUGAAUAAGCUCGAAUGCAAAAAUAUUGAGUUGCUUAACAUGCUUAGGACUGUUAACCCUAGUGGGCAAACCAUUGAUUCCUUUAAAGAUAUUAAGAGGAAGUCUAAAGAGGCUUUAUGAAAGCACCCAAUAUGGUUAAGACAGUAUAAGCGAAAGGACAAAUACAAAAUCUAAUGACCCUUGGUUUCAUUAUAGAAUGAAAGGUCAUUGGAAGGAAUAUUGUAUGNNN